This 253-nucleotide ribosomal RNA is filed under the name uncultured bacterium. RNAcentral's name for it is "partial 16S ribosomal RNA". It matches the Rfam family "Bacterial small subunit ribosomal RNA", at positions 524 to 776 of the family's 1533-position model. The record is from RNAcentral.
UACGUAGGCAGCAAGCGUUGUUCGGAAUUACUGGGCGUAAAGAGUGUGUAGGCGGUGUUCCAAGUCUGGUGUGAAAUCUCCCGGCUUAACUGGGAGGGUGCAUUAGAAACUGGAAUGCUAGAGGAUGGGAGAGGUAAGCGGAAUUCCUGGUGUAGCGAUGAAAUGCGUAGAUAUCAGGAGGAACACCUGUGGUGUAGACAGCUUACUGGACCAUUUCUGACGCUGAGACACGAAAGCGUGGGUAGCAAACAGG